AUUGAACGCUGGCGGAAUGCUUUACAUAUGCAAGUCGAACGGUAGAGGGGGCAACCCCUCGAGAGUGGCGAACGGGUGAGUAAUAUAUCGGAACGUGCCCAGUCGUGGGGGAUAACGUAGCGAAAGUUACGCUAAUACCGCAUACGAUCUAAGGAUGAAAGCGGGGGAUCGCAAGACCUCGCGCGAUUGGAGCGGCCGAUAUCAGAUUAGGUAGUUGGUGGGGUAAAGGCUCACCAAGCCAACGAUCUGUAGCUGGUCCGAGAGGACGACCAGCCACACUGGAACUGGGACACGGUCCAGACUCCUACGGGAGGCAGCAGUGGGGAAUUUUGGACAAUGGACGCAAGUCUGAGCCAGCCAUUCCGCGUGCAGGAUGAAGGCCCUCGGGUUGUAAACUGCUUUUGUACGGAACGAAAAGGUCUCUCUUAAUACGGGGGGCUCAUGACGGUACCGUGAGAAUAAGCACCGGCUAACUACGUGCCAGCCGCCGCGGUAA
RNAcentral lists this ribosomal RNA (496 nucleotides) under uncultured bacterium. RNAcentral describes it as "partial 16S ribosomal RNA". It matches the Rfam family "Bacterial small subunit ribosomal RNA", at positions 30 to 523 of the family's 1533-position model. The record is from RNAcentral.